This 50-nucleotide small RNA is filed under the name Arabidopsis thaliana (thale cress). RNAcentral's name for it is "ATSL062300". The record is from RNAcentral. Lineage: Eukaryota; Viridiplantae; Streptophyta; Magnoliopsida; Brassicales; Brassicaceae.
ACUUCAGGAUUUUGUCUCUUUUGUUAUUUAUUUUUUUUGGUUUUUCCUUU